GCCGCAUUAGCUCAAUUGGUUGAGCAUCGCACACCAAAUGCGAAGGUUGUGGGAUCGUUCCCCACAUGCGGCA
RNAcentral lists this transfer RNA (73 nucleotides) under Dermacentor andersoni. RNAcentral's name for it is "transfer RNA tryptophan (anticodon CCA)". Lineage: Eukaryota; Metazoa; Arthropoda; Arachnida; Ixodida; Ixodidae. The record is from RNAcentral.